UUCAUUCACUCUCUCUCUCCACUGUCUCUCUCUCUCUAAUUCAACACUCUCUCUCUCUGCGAUCAAUUCUGUGAAUUUGUGUUGUUUGCGGUUACAAGAAUGUUGAUACCACUUUCAAUUGUAGAUGAUGUUGCUAUCGUUGAUUUAGGUCAACAACAUCACCGCCACAACAUGUUACCUGUGUAUGUUCUCUUUGAUUCUCGUACCAUGUCUCACAACCACCACCCAACAAGAACACCACCUGGGUCUGUGAUCGAUCAACCUCUUCUCUUUGAUUCUCGUAUCACCAACAAUGUUCCAACAAGAUUAAUGUCUCACAACCACAACAGUGUUUCAUCAAGAUUAACUUCACCAACAGUGUCUGUGGUAGAUGAAACUGUUCUCUAUGACUUUCCUAUCGGCAAUGUUCCAAGAAGAUCAAGGAUUCAUCAUCAAACGGGUCAUCCCCACCACAACCACCACCACCACCACAAUGGUACUCGAGCUUCUCCGGCGGUGAUGGGUGUUCAAAAUACUAGAGCUUCUGGUGCUCAAGAUACUUGUCAACAUGUCACAACAUCAACAACAGAUGCUCAAUCCAUUUGUUGCAUUUGUCUUGUUAACUUGUCUAAUGGUUCUUCCAUGCCAAUUCGGCUGCGCUGCUCUCAUGAUUUUCAUACCGACUGCAUUCAAAAAUGGAUCAACAUUAAGAAAACUUGUCCACUUUGUCGCGCCAAUGUUUAAUUUUCAUAUAUAGAGUGUUGUUGAUUUAUAAAAAUGUUUCCUUUCUUUUGUUAUUUUCCAUGUUUUGGUUUGAUGAUUUUCCAUGUUUAGGUUUGAUUCCCUUGGAUUACCGGACAUUCCUUCAAGCCCUCUGAGGUAAGUUUUUGUUGGGUUGCUGUUACCUAUGAUACAUCAUGUGUGUUGGAGUUUUGUUUGUUAGUAUAGGUUCUACAUAAAACAUAUAUGUGCUCUGUCUUUGUGUGCAAACCUGUUUUUUUGUCUAUCUUUUCUUUUAUUCUUUGUGUCAAUAUGUGUUACACCGUAUAUGUAUGUGUUGUUUGUGAAUAUUUAGAACUAUGCUUUUGUCCUUGCAAAUGUCCAGUUUUAUAGUUGUGAACAGAUGCUGAAUAACGGUAGAUAUUCAUGUUAAAAUAUUAGUCUAUUAGGCUUUGUUUCGUUUUGUCUCUAUCAAUUGUUAUAUGCUUGUUUGGUUGGAUGGAUUAUGGAAUUAACAACUAUUUUGUGACAAUGGAGAAGGUGUGGGAUCUUAAUAUGGAUUAUAGCUUAUGGGUCACGUAAGCAUGCUUUUAUGAUUCUUACUAGUUAUGAUUCUGUGGUAAAUAUGAGAAGCAAUGAAGAUAAGAAAAGGUUGAAGAUUACAUUGUCUGGAUUUGUACUCAAGGUGACGAGUAUGUUAGGUUGUAUGGCAUUCAGAUGGAACUCAAAGAUAUUCAGAGAUGCAACUUGUUUGAAAUAAAAAGUUAAAAGUUUGUCAUUUCCCAACUAAUGGUUUUUUGUUUUCUGGUAAUGUUGCAAUGUUCAAGAUUAUUUAGGUAACUACUCAAGAACUUACAAUAUUGUUUGUUGCUUUCACUUCCUUUUUCUUUGUCAAUAUGUGUUACACCAAGAAUUGGAUUGAAGUGAUUUUGUCUGAUUCCCGGUGUUUGUAUAUUGUGGUUGUUUAGUCCUAUGAAGUUUAGGUGCAUGUUGUUUAGCUUGUUAUCUAUCAUUUAUUAGAAAUAUACCUGGACUUAUAGAGUACUUUCUGUAGCUGCAACUUGUGGUAGAGUUGCGGCAGUUUUGAAGCAUCCUCCGCCACUUAAUUUUACCACAGUAGCUGCGAGCUUAAUAUAUAAUCUGGAAACCUCCGCCACUAAAUUUUACCACAGUAACUCAAUUAUUUAUUCGGUUAGGCUAAUCAUAGUGAAUUUGAGAAAACAAAAUCAAAUUCAAGUAAGAUUGCAAGUUUAACAGGAUUUGAACUUUCUGUCAAAUUUAGAUGGGUUUUUUCUUUGAAACCAACAAGUUAGAUGUGAUCCAAAUACAUAUUUACUGGAAAUGUGACUGUUGGUGAUGUUAUUUUGUUGAUUCCUUCGUAUUGUGUAUUUAAGUUGUUUGGUGAAUUGAGUGGAAAUUUUCAUUGUUGAAGAUUAUGCUUCAUCACAUUUACCGCCCAAUUGUAAGCUUCAUCUUCUUUAUAUGUCAGUAUAAAUAAUGAGUAACUACUAAUUUUGAGCAAACAUUUCAUAUCGUUCAAUUCAAGUUGGUAGAAGUGAACUGCUUCAUAGAUCAACUCAAGUCUGGCCAACCAAGGUAUGCAACACAGAUGAUUUAAUUUCAUUUAUCUUUGCUUUUUGUUUCUUAUGAUUUCAUUUCAUAUUUGUUUUAUGUACCAGCUAUACUUCUUCACCCUCUUCAAGGGUUCAGGAUGGUUCUAAAUACCUUAAGUUAAAAAUUUGUAUUGUUUGUUGUGCAUGAAUAGAAGAAUCAUUGAGUCUAAGUUCUGAAAAUGGAGAAGAAUUAGUCAUGGUGUAACGGUUGUGAUCUAUCUCAAGUCAUAUAUGUACUAUUUACUUCUUGUUUUCUAUAUUUUUUUUCUUCUUAUAGUUUUAACAUCUCUUAAUUGUAUGUUUCUCGGUUGUACAGUCAUUAUAAUUGUUAUAAUGCUAAUUGCUAAUGCCUUGAAGCUUUUGUGACCUUUUCUCAUCAGCAACAGAUUUUGAAACACUCUCCAUGUCCUUGCAUCUUCUUGCAACAUACUCAAAUUCUACUCUCGUUUGGGUGACAGAUCUAAGUUUUCCCUUCCUGCUGGUCUUGAGCCUUUGUCUAAUAAACUAAGGUACCUACAUUGUAGUGCAUAUCCUUUGAAGUUUCUACCGUCAGCUCUUUCUCCUGAGAAACUUGUUGAGCCUUGCAUGCCAAACAGCCGUGUUCAAAGAUUAUGGGACGUAGUGUAGGUUUGUGGCUUGAAAUAUAUGAAACUAAUUUAUACAUUGUAUUAUAUGUGAUCAAAGUUUUUUUGGUUUGUUACAUGAUCUAAUUAAUUUAAAGAAAAUGGACCUUAGCUGUUGUGAGCACUUGAUAGAGCUUCCUGAUUUCUCCAUGGUAUCACAUCUCCAAUACAUUCACCUCUCUAGACGUGUAAGGUUGUGUCAUGUUCAUACAUCUACUUAGCACUCCAAAAUCUUGUCAAUUUAAACCGGGUUUGGUGCAACAAGCUCAAGAGUCUUAUAAGCAAUUCCCCUUCAAACUAUGCUAAUUCUCGAGCUCUAUGGCUGCUCAAGUCUCAAGGAAUUUUCUGUGAUAUCUACAAAAAUGACAGUUUGAUUUAAGAUGAUGUAUUGCUAUCAAUGAAUUGCGGCAGCCAUAAGUUGAGUACCUUGGAAGUCUUAUGGACUUGGAGUUGAGUAGCUAUGAUAGGCACCUUAGAUAUCUUCCAAAUGAGUUCUCAUGCUUGAAAUCUCUUGGCCAUCUGGUACUUUCUGAUUGCAUGCUACUUGACGACAUGUCAAAUCUACAUCUUUUAUUUGAUGGCCGGCGUUCGUUUGGAUACUUUUGUCUGGACAACAGUUGUAAUCUGACUGAACUACCUCACAACAUUAGUCUGUUAACAUUAUUAAAUUAUUUAUCACUCAGCGGAAUCAACGUGAAGAACAUUCCUAUAAGCAUCAAGCAUCUUUCACAGCUAGAAUCUCUUGGCUUGUGCAAAUGCGUGAGCAUUUAGUCUCUACCAGAACUCUCACCAUCUAUUCAAGUGUUGGAUGUCACCAACUACACAUCCUUGGAGACCGUCGUCAUCUUCGUGUUAUCAAUGAACUACUAGAAGAGCACAAGGUAUUCAUUUCCUUCAAAAAUUGUGUGAAAUUGAAUGAAUACUCAUAGGAAAGACUUCAGUGUCAGGUACGCUUCACUGUUUAAAGAGGGGACAUGUUUUUCUUCAGAGUCAAAAUCUACAAAAGUUUUGUUGUCUAAUUCAUGGGUUUCAACACAAUAAGUCACGGAAUCAUCUAUGCUUAGGAAAUCACACAUCAGCCAUAUGACGAUUCCUUCCACAGAAAGUUCAAUUUGUUAUUGUAGGCACCUUUCCCUUUUCCAUCCGUAAGAUUAAGAAGGGCUUGAGAUUCAUGAGCAACAUUCAAAUCAUUUAAGGUCUCAUGUAUUUCACCAAAAUUGCUUCCCAUGGUUAAACGAGUAUUUAGUUAGAUUCUAGAUGGGUUCUGAUUUAGUUGUUUAUAUAACAAACUUUGUAUAUACUAGUGAUAGCUUUUUUAAACACAUAUAUUAUGGCUCUUUCUUCUUUGCUGUUUUUCUUUGGGUACACUUAUCUCUUUUCUUUAUUAUACUUGUAAAAGACUUAAUUUUAAUUGAUAUAUGAUUCAUUUAUGAAUUAUAAAGUUAACUUUGUUUCUAAAGAGUUGUUGAAUCAAGUCUUGUAAGAAGCCUGUCAUAUAUUAUAAAACAAACUUGAAACAUUAUUUCCACCAUAAUUUCUCUCCGUUAAUACACUUAUAUAUGUAGUGGCUAGUGGUCAUAAAAAUUGUGGAACUUCCAACACAUAGUGAAAUACACAACCCACUUUAACUAAGUUUCGCGAAAAAUUGUGGAACUUCCAACACAUAGUGAAAUGAUUUAUACCAUCAAAAUAGAUUGAAAUAGACAUUAGAUCAAUGUUAAGGACAUACAUGCACAACUUUAAAAUUAAAUUAAAUGAUGUUCAAGUUGGCUUUAUGUUCAUUUUUCCAUGACUGUAACUCAGUACCAGACAACUAUGCAUACAUUAAUAUUGAUUUACAACUUAAAAUGGUUUAUAUUAUAACAAACACAUUUGGUUGGUUGAAUAUCAUCUUACAGCUUUUUUUGGCAAGAUUUUAGAGUGAGAACAAUGUAUAAAAAUAAUAAUUUACAAUUUAAAAAAAACAGUUAAUAAGAAAAGGUUAAAGAUUAAUUUGUCUGGAUUGACACUCAAGCAGAUGAGGUCUGUUAGGAUGCAACUUUACCUGCUGUCAGCACACCUGUUCCUAACAGUAGUUCUUGUAGAACAAACCUAAUAAGUUUAUUUUAUUCUCUUAAUCUUGCAAUUAAUAUUUCUAUUUUUAAUUUGGUUUUGGUUGGAUGCAGUCAUACAAUUUGGAGACCAGCAUCCUGAUGAUAUUCAAAGAUGAAUUUUGUAUAUAUAGGAUACAACUUGUUUUUUUUUUGUUCUCUAGUAAUGUUGCACUGUUCAAGAUUAUUUAGGUAACUACUUAACAACUUACGAUAUUGUUCACUGCUAUCUCGCUAACACUGAUUUGUUGCUAUCUUGUUUCUCUCCUAAUAGUACUUGUUUGCUGCUAUCACAUUAGUAAGGUGUUGGUGCAAAUAUUUUAUAUCCACAAAAUUACACUUCUUGGCAUCUGUGUAGUAUUGUGAUCAUAGUCACUGCUCUAAUAUUCAUUUCUUAUAUAUCUCAGUCCAUGAAACGCAUCACAGUCCAUGAACAAAAUGAAGGGUUUCAAUUUCAACUAUAAUCAGAGCUCGCAAUUCUCUUCGGUAUGUUGUUCGAGUUAGGGUAUGCGGUAUGAAACUACAAAGAAUUAGGUUUUGAAAAAAUUGCAAAGGUUUACCACUCGCCAUUAAAGUGCCUGCAACAUCAGUCAGAAAUAGGCCUUAUGGAUUGUGUGGCGAAAGAUAGGGCUCAUGUCUUAAUAGCAAGGAAAAAUGCAACUGAUGCAGACAAUUACAACCAUAAUAUUGUCCUUCAUGAUCCUGUUAAUAAAUUGGAAUUUACCAAAGAACCAAUUGAGCAGAGAAGAAGAAUGAUCAUUGACAUGAAUCAAGAUUUCCCAAUAUGAAGGAAGAUAGAGGUAGGAGAAGAAAUGAUGCUUCUCCAAAGAGAAAUGCACAUCAACAAGGAUAUAUAUCCACAUGAUUUGACGAAGCAGAGACCAUUGUAGAUAUCUGCAUUGCAUCCGGAAGACAAAGGUAGAGAAAUCUAAAGUGAGUAGCAUUGUUCUAUGGACGGCAACGACAGGGGAACGACUUUUCAAUAACUAUAGUGAAGGAGGCAAUUUUCGCUAAGAAAACUACAAUUAAAUGUAUUGAGCUAGUCAAGAUAGAGGGAUUUUAGUUGUGUUAGUAGCUUUUGACUAUUUGUGUACAGCAAAAUGUGUCUUUUCUCAGUUUUUGUUUUUAUUCAAGUUAACAUAACAUGUUUGUGCAAUUGUUCAAUCAAAGUUUCUAAUGCAGUUGGAAAAUGAAAGGUCAUUCUAAUUCUGAUUCAUUAAUGUAAUAAAGUGAAUAAGGCACAUAAAGAUACAACAUUUAUCAUUAAUUAAUGUAAUUGUUAACAUUA
Long non-coding RNA from Lathyrus oleraceus (garden pea), 6313 nucleotides. RefSeq lists it as uncharacterized. The record is from RefSeq and is a predicted model, not a curated record. The transcript is spliced from 6 exons. Lineage: Eukaryota; Viridiplantae; Streptophyta; Magnoliopsida; Fabales; Fabaceae.